Rattus norvegicus (Norway rat) is the source of this 144-nucleotide small nucleolar RNA. Ensembl annotates it as small nucleolar RNA SNORA48. NCBI's taxonomy places the organism in Eukaryota, Metazoa, Chordata, Mammalia, Rodentia, Muridae. The record is from Ensembl.
CACUCCUAGCAAUGGGCAAAGAGACACCUUGUUGGCGGUGGUGUUCUUAUAUCAGUCAGGGGCAGAAUAGAUGGCAGUUCUUUGUUCACACUAGCCUGACGCCUGGCUUGGUGGCCAAAGCUGUUUUAUGCCUAGGACAUAUAA